UCAGGAUGAACGCUAGCUACAGGCUUAACACAUGCAAGUCGAGGGGCAGCGGGAGGCUAGCUUGCUAGUCUGCCGGCGACCGGCGCACGGGUGCGUAACGCGUAUCCAACCUGCCGUGUACUCGGGGAUAGCCCUCUGAAAGGAGGAUUAAUACCCGAUGUGGUCAUUAGGAGACAUCUCCUGAUGAUUAAAGAUUUAUCGGUACACCGAUGGGGAUGCGUCUGAUUAGCUUGUUGGCGGGGUAACGGCCCACCAAGGCUACGAUCAGUAGGGGUUCUGAGAGGAAGGUCCCCCACAUAGGAACUGAGACACGGUCCUAACUCCUACGGGAGGCAGCAGUGAGGAAUAUUGGUCAAUGGGCGUAAGCCUGAACCAGCCAAGUUAAGCGUGAGGGAAGACUGCCCUACGGGUUGUAAACCUCUUUUAUGGGAGAAUAAAGUGAGCCACGCGUGGUUUUUUGUAGGUAUCCCAUGAAUAAGCAUCGGCUAAUUCCGUGCCAGCCGCGGC
RNAcentral lists this ribosomal RNA (507 nucleotides) under uncultured bacterium. RNAcentral describes it as "bacterial SSU rRNA". It matches the Rfam family "Bacterial small subunit ribosomal RNA", at positions 24 to 518 of the family's 1533-position model. The record is from RNAcentral.